Molecule: ribosomal RNA, 468 nt
Filed under: uncultured bacterium
Lineage: Bacteria
Description: partial 16S ribosomal RNA
Rfam family: Bacterial small subunit ribosomal RNA
Source: RNAcentral
GACGAACGCUGGCGGCGUGCUUAACACAUGCAAGUCGAACGGAAAGGCCCUGCUUUUGUGGGGUGCUCGAGUGGCGAACGGGUGAGUAACACGUGAGUAACCUGCCCUUUACUUUGGGAUAACUUCAGGAAACUGGGGCUAAUACCUGAUAGGUGCUCCUGCUGCAUGGUGGUGGUUGGAAAUUUUCGGCGGUUGGGGAUGGACUGGCGGCUUAUCAGCUUGUUGGUGGGGUAGUGGCUUACCAAGGCUUUGACGGGUAGCCGGCCUGAGAGGGUGACCGGCCACAUUGGGACUGAGAUACGGCCCAGACUCCUACGGGAGGCAGCAGUGGGGAAUAUUGCACAAUGGGCGGAAGCCUGAUGCAGCAACGCCGCGUGCGGGAUGAAGGCCUUCGGGUUGUAAACCGCUUCCGCCUGUGACGAAGCGUGAGUGACGGUAAUGGGUAAAGAAGCACCGGCUAACUACGUG